CUAUAAGCUGAAUAACUAUUUCAGAAGAGGAGUUUGAAUUAUAAAUACAAUGUUGGUAGUUGUUAGAAUGUAGGUUAUAUUUAAAGGCAUCGUCAUAGGAGCCUUAGGGUGUUGCUUCACCAACCAGAAACUUCUGUGACAGGUGGUGCCUCUGCUGUGUGUCACUGCCUGCAGCUCAGCAAGCCAGCCAGGAACAUGUUAUA
RNAcentral lists this long non-coding RNA (203 nucleotides) under Pan troglodytes (chimpanzee). Its description in RNAcentral is "long non-coding RNA NONPTRT014872". Lineage: Eukaryota; Metazoa; Chordata; Mammalia; Primates; Hominidae. The record is from RNAcentral.